Molecule: long non-coding RNA, 8062 nt
Filed under: Nicotiana tabacum (common tobacco)
Lineage: Eukaryota; Viridiplantae; Streptophyta; Magnoliopsida; Solanales; Solanaceae
Description: long non-coding RNA (NTAB_LNC013790)
Source: RNAcentral
AAAUAUAAAAAAGACUAGACCUAGAGAUAUAGAGAUCAGCGCCGUUUUCAAUACAUAGACCCCCUAGCCUUGGCUUCUUCUUACUCGAUUUUUCUCUACAAAGCAUCAACUACAUAUACAAAGAACACAACAAUCAGCCAAAAAAAUUACAAAAAACAAUGACCUAGACCCUAGACAUACAAGGAGUGUCGGCUUUGGACUGAGAACCCUCCCCCAUCGGUCUUCUUCUCCAAACACCAACAACCAUUCGACCUUGAGGACCUUCAACCAAGAGACGAACCCAUCGUCGCUUCUUCUUUAGGCACCCGAAGCAGCUAUGAAAGAAUCUUAACGCCACAACCAACCACCUCCCUUCACCCAUCGCUGUUUCUGUUUCUUUUCGUUCAUAGCAGCUCGCCGGAAAACGAGCUGAAACGACCACCAAAAUCAACCUAGACAGACUGUUUCUGCCCCAUUCUAAUGCAGUCGAAGUUCUGUCCGUUUUCGAGUUCGCCAGCAAGUUUUGAUACUCCGUCUGAGGGCUCGUUCAUGGUCUUGUCCGUUUCUGCUUGUUCAAGUUAUUAAGAAUUAAGUUUGUUGGAUGAGGAAAGGUUGAAGUUUAAAGAGGUCAUGUUCUAACUUUACCUAUCUUUCUAAUUUCCAGAUCUUGUAUCAUGGUUUUUUGAAUUAUUUUGUUUGACUUCAUUUGUUUUCGUCUGUCUUGUUUGCUUACAAGACUUGCUUUCUUUAGUUAACUGUAAAUAACUAGCUAUUAUGUUUUCUAUUUUUUUCUUGGAAUUAAGGGAAUAUGUGAUUCUUAGAAUGUUACCUUGUCUAUAUAUUAAGAAUCGCAUAGGUUCAAUUGUUAGGCCGAAGCCAUGAAAUUUGCCGUUAUGUUGGUGAGGAUCAUGUACAUAAUUAUUUAUCUAUGUAGGCUAGCUUUUGGUGGAAAUCUAUGUAAAUAUUUUCUCUUGUCUAUACAUGAAAUACCAAGAUUUAGCUACUGUCCACAUUAGAAAGCAUGUUCUAAGAUUCUUUUAUUAUGAGAUUAUAGAAAUCAUGUCCAUAAAAAUUAUGUUUUCAACCGGAAAUGCUAUAACAAGUGGAGCUUUGGAUCAUUUCUUUUAGUUUUUUAAUUUUUUAUUUUACCUUAGGCUACUAAUAGUCCGGGGUGUUCCAUCCACGAUUUAAUCAUACAUGGCCCUCGUAUUAAUCUCAUAACCUAGAUUUAAAAAUGACAAAUUCUCGUAGUUUGCUUUAGGCGCGUUAAUUAAAUAAAGUUUCAUAGCUAAGGGUACGGUUCCUGUGACGCAAUUGUGACACACAAUUUCCAAAUCCGGGUGUGCAUUUCAUGUGACCCGACUUCAAUUCCCAAUGAUGUUUGAUAAAUAAAUAUGUCGUGAACCGCAGAUGCAUUUCAUGUAGCGUAGUUUACGGCUUGUUUUCAAAAGCGGACAAGUGUAUGGCGAUUAUGAAUUUUCCUAAAAAAUAUUAAAAGUGGUUAAAAAGUUAAAAAAUGCACAUAGGUUUAAAAUGUGUAAUUAAUCGGAUAAUUAGGCCAAUAAUAAUAGUUGAGCGACCGUGCUAGAACCACAGAACUCGGGAGUGCCUAAGACCUUCUCCAGGGUUAACAGAAUUCCUUACCCGGAUUUCUGCGUUUCGCAGACAUUAGUACAGAUUCAAAUUUUCUCGAUUCAGGAUUCUAAACCGGUGACUUGGGACACCAUAAAUUAUCCCAAGUGGCGACUCUAAUUUUUAAACAAAUAAUCCCGUUUCGAUUGUCACUUAAAUUGGAAAAAACUCCCUUAUACCUUUCUGGGGGUAGUAAAAAGGAGGUGUGAUAGUUAUGAUAAGAAUAAACUCUUUUCGACCAAUCAAAUUGAAGUGUGACAAGACCGUAUUUGAUUGACCAGAACAUGUCACUUGCAUAUGUGGCGCGAGUUCAUUGGUCUUUUAAUUUGACUUGGCAUGCCUUAUCAUUUUGACAUGUGGCAUAAUCUUAUUGUCUCUUUUGUUUGACUUGGCGUGCCACGUCAUUUGACACAUGGCACCAAACUGGGCCUCUAGGAAGAUGACUUCUUGGGCCUAAUGAAGUGGGAUAAUCACUUUAGUCCAAUGGAUUAAGACAUAUUUAUUUAAUUAAUAGAUAUUGAUUUAUAUAAUUAAUCCAAUUAUAUUAGACCAUAAUAUUUAUUUGGAAUAAUAUAUCUUAAAUUUAAAAUAUAGUCCAAAUUAUUUUAUAGAUUUAAUUCCAAUAAAAUUUAUAUGCCUAUGUAUAUAUAUAUAUAUAGAUAUCCAAUUAGAAAUAUGGUCUUAUAUAUAGAAGAAGGAAACAAAGUUAGGAAGUGUUACAUGAUCUUCUUGGAUGGAAAAUGAAUACAUGUAUGUAUACGGUCAAAAUCGAGCUUGCCCUUUUUGUAUGGUUAAUCGAGACCGGCGCGUGGCAGGCCAAGGUUCGACCCCAUGUCAUACCGGACCGUGACAUGAAGUUAUAUUGCCAAGCUCAUGACUCAGGGACCGAUCGAGAUCGAGAUCAGCCAAGAUCGAGAUCGAGCAAGAUCGAGGGAAGCCUACCGAGCCAAAUAAUAGAAAGCCAAGAUAUCCGCGAUCGAGCGAGGAUAACGACGGAAAUCUUGGCAAGUAUCAAGAAGAGACCGAUUAAUCAGAUAAUCAUGAGACUUCUUACUGUAUUUAGGAUUGUAUUAAGGGUAGGACUCCCUUACUAUAUAAAAGGGGGUUUGAUCAUUUGUAAGGAGGAUCAUAUUCACACUACAUAAAGCAAUAUACUAUCUUUCUCUUAAGCUUUCAUUAUCUUGUUACUUUGUUCUUGUAUCAGCUGAAUCUUCACUCGGUUCAAGGGUGAUCGAAUUCGAGGGCCAAGGCUAUUUGAUUCGUUCGGUUUGUAUUUACUCUUUUACAGUCAAUUUCAACAUUAAUUUGUGUGUUUGUGCCAAGCAAAAUCAUGUGUCCUUAAAACCACAAUAUAAAUUCAAUUGUUAUUCAUUUUUAGGGUAAAUAGUUUGGCGCCCAUCGUGGGGCUAAGGAUAAUAGUGGUUACCUGGUACAAACUUUCGUAACACAUACUAUUUUACACUUGUUCUUUCAAGUAUCUUUGAUUACAGGAUUAAAAAAUGUCAAACUCUCAGUCAGCACCUCAACACAUUGACAAUGAUCUCAGCCACCACGGCGAAAAUGAGAAUAUUGCACCAGGAAACGUUAUACCCCCUGCUAGCCUCGAUGGAAUUCCGACUGUAGAUCCAAUCGACGCAUGUAGCCAUCAAUGGAAAUUUGGCCAUCGAUCCCAAAAGUAGCGUUCAUGGGGGUACCCGAUCAGCUACUCAGAACGCACAUGGCGGUGAAGAUGGCGGGAUCAACCUGUGGGUUAUCUUCGAAAUAUUGCAGGCCCAACAAGCAGCAAUAGCCCAGCUCUACAAUCAGAAUCACACACUGAGCAGGGUCGAACUCGAGCCAUCCCAAGAAGUUGUAUACAGGGUCGAAUCGACUUCGAGAAAAUCAAAUAAGAAGGAAUUGGAGACCAAUCCUGCUAUCAUAAAGAUACUCGAAGACUGACAAAGCGAAUCGAUACAGGGGAAAAAAAGAUCGAGGAAAACGAUAAGAAGGUGGAAACUUAUAACUCCAGGGUCGACCAAAUCCCGGGGACACCACCAAUAUUGAAAGGACUAGAUUCCAAAGAGUUUAUACAAAAAACUUUCCCCCUAGUGUGGCUCCGAAGCCAAUCCCCAAGAAGUUCUGUAUGCCUGAGAUUCCUAAGUAUAACGGGAUGACUGAUCCAAAUGAACACGUCACCUCCUACUCAUUUGCUAUCAAAGGAAAUGGCUCGGAAAAUGAUGGGAUCGGAUCUGCCUUGGUGAAGAAAUUCGGGGAGACUUUAUCGAAGGGUUCUAUGAUAUGGUAUCAUAAUUUACCUCCUAAUUCUAUUGACUCAUUUACUAUGCUUGCAGAUUCUUUUGUAAAGGCAUACACCGGGGCCGUCAAGGUCAUAACCAGGAAGUCAGACCUUUUCAAGGUAAGGCAGAAGAACAACGAGUUGCUUAGAGAAUUCGUGUCUCAAUUCCAAAUGGAACAGAUGGAUUUUCCACUGGUCACCAGCAAUUGGGAUGUUCAAGCUUUCAUUCAAGGUUUCAAAGUUCGAAGUUCAGUAGCUUCACAGCAGUUGAAGCAGAAUUUGACCUAAUACCCAGCUAUUACUUGGGCCGAUGUACAUAAUCGGUGUCAAUCGAAGAUUAGGGUCAAAGAUGAUCAGUUGGGGGCCCCUUCUGGGUCUGUUUAUCCUAUCAGGUCUGUAGAUGAAUCAAGAGGGAUAUUGACCAAGAACCGAGGUCAAAUAGAGAUCAAUAUCAACCAUAUAAUGAAGAUCGUAAAGGCAGAAGAACUGGGCGAAAUUUUGCAUGGAUUGAGAAGAGAAAUGAUCGAGGUCAAAGUCCACGGGGACUUAGUACUGAGGAAGGUCACAUUAAACACCCGAUAUCCAAACGAAGGGAAAUGAGACCGAACUGGGAAUGGCCGUGCCAGAUUCUUGAGAUCAUAGGAAAAAGGGUCCUAUAAGCUCGGAACGAUGGACGGAUAACAACUACCGAACAAUUGGAGCGUGACUCAUCUCAAACAAUAUAACUGCUAAGGUACGGCCCCAUUUCAAUUAUUUCUAUUUUUUGACUAACACUUGCAGGUUAUCGACAAGGAGCGGCAAAAAGCCUUUAGGUCUGAAAGCACGCGUUGCACUCUUUUUCCCUUGAACUGUUUUUGUCCCGAUUAGUUUUUUUGCAAGGUUUUUAACGAGGAAACAAUGGAUCAUGCUAAACUUGAAUCGAAGGUCGAUCAUGAAUCGGUGUCAAAGACAACAUUAACAGUAUCCGAAGUUCCUCUACAAUCAAACUCGAAUACUGGGGGGCAUUGCCCUUGGAUGCCAACUUUGUUACGAGGAAAUUACUGCAUAAUGAUGGGGUCUCGAUAAGUGAGAUUUUUAAGGGUCAAACGAUUGAACGAACCGUGCCCAUAUAGGUUGCUCGAGCCAUGGCACAAAAUAUGUACGCAUGUGUAAUGAUUUUUCACAAGAAUAAAGAGAAGUAUUUUUCCUUGCAAUUAUCUCAUGUCUUAGAAAAAGUUUUUCUACUUUACAAUUCCAUACUUUCAAUCUAUUAUGGAAACGAGCUCAAGGGCAUAUCAUAACCAGAGUUUGGAUAAUCACCCCCACUCUCGGGGACUGUCGUCCAAAAAAUGAAAGUCGAACAUAUUGAAUUAUUGAGCGUUGAGGGCAUAAGACAUUUUAGGCAACCCUCGGAUUUUAAAGGCCACGACCAUACUUACUCGGGGACUCUUUAUCGAGCCCAAGGGCCAUUUUACUUCGAGUUCAAGAAAUCAUUCUUACUCGACUACAAAGCCCAAGGGUUGCCUUAUCUCGAGUUUAAGUAAAUCCUCACUCUACCUCAAAGCCCAAGAGCUGCCUUAACCCGAGUUCAAGCGAAUUCUCACUCGGGGACUAUCUAUUGAGCCCAAGGGCCUCCUUAUCUCGAGUUCGAGCAAGUCCUCACUCGACCAUAAAGCCUAAGGGCUCUUUUUUACUUCGAGUCGAGCAAAUCCUCACUUGAUUAUAAAGCCCAAGGGCUACUUUAUCUCGAGUUCGAGCAAGUCCUCACUCGUCCAGAAAGCCUAAGGGUUACUUUUACUUCGAGUUCGAGCAAGUCCUCACUCGACUACAAAGCCCAAGGGCUACCUUAACUCGAGUUCGAACGAAUUCUCACUCGGGGACUAUCUACCGAGUCCAAGAGCCACCUUAUCUCGAGUUUGAGAAAGUCCUCACUCGACCAUAAAGCCUAAGGGCUACUUUUAUUUCGAAUUCGAGUAAAUCCUCACUCGGCUACAAAGCCCAAGGGCUACCUUAUCUCGAGUUCGAACAAGUCCUCGCUCGACCAUAAAACCUAAGGGCUACUUUUACUUUGAGUUCGAGAAAGUCCUCACUCAACUACAAAUCCCAAGGGCUACCUUAACCCGAGUUCGAGAAAAUUCUCACUCAAUGACUAUCUAUCAAGCCCAAGGGCUACCUUAUCUCGAGUUCAAGAAAGUCCUCACUCGACCAUAAAGCCUAAGGGAUACUUUUACUUCGAGUUCGAGCAAAUCCUCACUCGACUGUUAAGCCUAAGGGCUACCCUUAUUCAAGUUUGAACAUUCACUCAAGGAUUACCGAUCAGAAACGGUCAAGGGAAGUACUUACGAUCGGUCCUUACCAUCUCACACCUUGGACCUUCGCAUACAACUUCGUAAUUUCAUGCUAAGGCGCUUUGACCCUUAUAUAAAUUAACAAAAAGAUAAUAGAUUCAGAAGCCAUGGAAGGAAAAGUAGUUUUAUAUAUUCAUAAAAACCUUUUUACAAGGGCAACAUGGCCCAAUGAAAGUUCUUUACAAAAGGCCAAAGCGGCCUGGAUAGAAAGACAAAAACUAUUUAAAAGCCUAAGUGGACUGGUCAUCUCUGGGAGUUGCAUCUCUGCCCUCGGGGUAUUCUCCACUUUCAGAUUCGUCAUCAUCAACGGGAUAAGCUAAUUUCCCAGCUUCAACUUCAAGCUUCUUAGCGUUCUCGAUCUCAUUUGAAAGAUCAAAGCCCCGAGCAUGGAUUUUAUCAAGGGUAUCCCUUCGAGAUUGACAUUUGGCGUGCUCGAUGAUCCCUUCUGCUUGAAUCUAAAUGGCCUCGGUAGCCUCCUUUGCUCGAACCUGAGCAGCUUCAGCAUCGGCCCAUUAAAUAGCCACCACAGCGUCAACAUUACCCUAGGUUGCCUUAACCUCCGAUUUGGACACUUCAAGCUUCGUGACUAGGUUCUCCCGAAUAGAAUCUGCUGAACCCAACUGGGACUGGAGGUCCUCAAUUUUCUUGGCUUGCACCAAGGCUUUCUCUUUCAUGCUUCAAAGUUGGAUUUUAGCGAGGUCAGCUGGGCCCAGGCAGUCUCCAAUUCUGAGGCCAGGCAAUCCAUGUUCUUAUUCCAUUCUUGGGCCUUAGUUUUCACUGCGUCUAUUUCUUCACGGAGUUUCCCGAUCACAUCGAGCUUUUGUUGGACCUAUGGAUUCGAUCCAUUAGCCACCAUACCCGAGUCACCAUCACUAACUUCAAAGAUUCUUCUUACCUGUUCGGCCAGUUUGGCAUGUUCUUUCUGAGCCAUUUCUAGCUCAGCAUGGAGGCCUUUAGCUUCCCCUUCUCUUUGCUCACUGAGAAGCUUAAAGGCAUCCUUUUCCUCAGUAAGCCCUGGGACCUCAACCUUAUACCGGCUCAACUCCCCUCGGAAUUGGAGAAAGGCUUUGUGAUGAAGCACCGAAGCCUAGAUGCACUGAAAAUAAGAUUAUGCAAAAAAAGCAUAAGUACAAAGAAUUGACAUCGUCAAGGAAAGCCGGGAUUACUCGAUUUAGUGCAUGUUGGGCUUCGUUGAAAAGACAGGGUGUUUCUACCUCAUCCAUCUUAUCUUGGUCUUCUUCGAUGACCAAACAUCAUAGAUAGCUAGACACCCCUAUGGGGGCACAACAGACCUGAGUAUACCGGGACCGAGAUGAUAAUUGAUCGCUUACGCCCGGGGUCGACACUGGGGGUCGGAAGUUGAUUGGCCAGUUUAAAGCUCGAGGAAGCCUCACUUGAGCUCUUCCUCGAUACCUCCAAGUCACGCAGACCGGUGACAUCUUCCACCAGAACAAAAUAGCCAUGGAAAGGGUCUUAUUCUACAUGGACCCCUUCACCGUGGGAAGUCUCCACUGCCUGAGUAUCCUUGAUCAUCGACUCAGUAAAUGAAGGAAACGAGGGGGAAUCUCCAAUAUCUAUCACCCCAAGUAAAUCUUUUGGGGUGCCACUUCAUCUAGGGGGCUUCGAGCAUGGUUUCUAUACCAACAUCAAUCUCCUCCUCGAUAGCCUUCUCACCUCGAGGCAAAGCUGAUAAGUAGGGAUUUUAACGAGUUUCAUGCUCCUUCUUGCCUAUGCUUUGAUUAUAAAUUGUUACAAAAUAGUCCCAAAAGGCUCAUAAUUUGUGCUUGAUUGCAGGUUUGAUCGACAAAUUGAUGAAAUGACAAAGAUCGGCUCAAAAGGAGUGAAACUU